This 301-nucleotide ribosomal RNA is filed under the name uncultured bacterium. RNAcentral's name for it is "partial 16S ribosomal RNA". It matches the Rfam family "Bacterial small subunit ribosomal RNA", at positions 509 to 807 of the family's 1533-position model. The record is from RNAcentral.
CAGCCGCCACGGGAAUACGGAGGGAGCUAGCGUUGUUCGGAAUUACUGGGCGUAAAGCGCGCGUAGGCGGUUACUCAAGUCAGAGGUGAAAGCCCGGGGCUCAACCCCGGAACUGCCUUUGAAACUAGGUGACUAGAAUCUUGGAGAGGUCAGUGGAAUUCCGAGUGUAGAGGUGAAAUUCGUAGAUAUUCGGAAGAACACCAGUGGCGAAGGCGACUGACUGGACAAGUAUUGACGCUGAGGUGCGAAAGCGUGGGGAGCAAACAGGAUUAGAUACCCGAGUAGUCCCUGUCUCUUAUAC